AAUAAAUGUCUUACAUUUAGCCAUCUUUUUGAGGAGAUUGUAUUACAUGUGUGAACCCUUUAACGAUGAGGAGCAAAACCUUCAUUUAAUGCGUGUUCUGUAUAUUAUUUUGAAUGAUACUUCAGAAAAGAAUUGGACGUUAGUCAAAUAAUUUAGUCAAAAUAAAGCAUAUACUUUUUUUCAAUAAGACAAUGACGUGAUUGUAGUUCUGAAACGCAAUUAAAGGACAUGUUAUACUUUUUAUUUGUUAUCCAUUAAUAAUUUUCCAGUGAAAAAUGGUUGUGGUCAAAAUUCCAAGAGUAUUAUAUUAAAACUAUUAUAACAACU
This 327-nucleotide long non-coding RNA is filed under the name Mytilus galloprovincialis (Mediterranean mussel). Lineage: Eukaryota; Metazoa; Mollusca; Bivalvia; Mytilida; Mytilidae. The record is from RNAcentral.